This 253-nucleotide ribosomal RNA is filed under the name uncultured bacterium. RNAcentral describes it as "partial 16S ribosomal RNA". It matches the Rfam family "Bacterial small subunit ribosomal RNA", at positions 524 to 776 of the family's 1533-position model. The record is from RNAcentral.
UACAGAGGUCUCAAGCGUUGUUCGGAUUCAUUGGGCGUAAAGGGUGCGUAGGUGGCGCUGUAAGUCGGGUGUGAAAUUUCGGAGCUUAACUCCGAAACUGCAUUCGAUACUGCGGUGCUUGAGGACUGGAGAGGAGACUGGAAUUCAUGGUGUAGCAGUGAAAUGCGUAGAGAUCAUGAGGAAGACCAGUGGCGAAGGCGGGUCUCUGGACAGAUCCUGACACUGAGGCACGAAGGCCAGGGGAGCAAACGGG